GACGAACGCUGGCGGCGUGCCUAACACAUGCAAGUCGAACGGAACUGUUUUGAAAGCUUUCUUCGGAAUGAAUUUGAUUUAGUUUAGUGGCGGACGGGUGAGUAACGCGUGAGUAACCUGCCUUCAAGAGGGGAAUAACAUUCUGAAAAGAAUGCUAAUACCGCAUGACAUAUCGGAACCACAUGGUUUUGAUAUCAAAGAUUUUAUCGCUUGAAGAUGGACUCGCGUCCGAUUAGUUAGUUGGUGAGGUAACGGCUCACCAAGACCGCGAUCGGUAGCCGGACUGAGAGGUUGAACGGCCACAUGGGGACUGAGACACGGCCCAGACUCCUACGGGAGGCAGCAGUGGGGGAUAUUGCGCAAUGGGGGCAACCCUGACGCAGCAACGCCGCGUGAAGGAUGAAGGUUUUCGGAUUGUAAACUUCUUUUAUUAAGGACGAAAAAUGACGGUACUUAAUGAAUAAGCUCCGGCUAACUACGUG
RNAcentral lists this ribosomal RNA (482 nucleotides) under uncultured bacterium. RNAcentral's name for it is "partial 16S ribosomal RNA". It matches the Rfam family "Bacterial small subunit ribosomal RNA", at positions 28 to 507 of the family's 1533-position model. The record is from RNAcentral.